RNA transcript from Dioscorea cayenensis subsp. rotundata (Guinea yam), 4191 nucleotides. It is a transcript of the gene named serine/threonine-protein kinase AtPK2/AtPK19-like, with no coding region annotated. Lineage: Eukaryota; Viridiplantae; Streptophyta; Magnoliopsida; Dioscoreales; Dioscoreaceae. The transcript has 9 exons. The record is from RefSeq and is a predicted model, not a curated record.
AGUCAACGAGACUACCCACUCAUUUCCCGCCACGUCUCCUCUACUGCCUACUGCCCCGUGAAAGGGAAAAAAACCGCGAACCCUCGCCGGAGUAUCUUUUAGGGGACCGUCGAGAAAUCGUCCGGCGAAAUCGGGUAGCCAGUUCUUCUCUGGUUUUCGAGAAACACUGUGAUGUCAUCUGCUUACUGUAUGUUGGGAAACAAGGCUGUCUCCUGGAUUGUCUUGCUUGCACCAAGUGUACCAUGGAGCUCCUGUUGUCUGUAUGAAGUUCCAGUUGUUUAAGGUGAUUGAUUGAAAUCAUUCUUCAUCAGCCAUUUUAUGAGAUUUAUGAAGAGAACCAAACUUAUUUGGAGUUGUAUUGAGAUAGAUUUCAACUGGCAUUUAAUAAACAGUGAGUAAUGGUUUCAUCUUAGUAUUAUCGCCUACCAACAGCUUCUUCUUCAAUGGGUCUCACUGAUAUUCUUCCUUCUGAGCAAGAGGAACUUGAUUUUUCUGAUGUUUUUGGUCCUGAUCCUCAAUCCUUGGCUCAAGAAAAUGUGGUGGCAUCUGAGGAUUCCUUAGCAACAUCUGGUUCAUGUGAGAAAGUAUACAAUGACCCGGAGGUUGUUUACAGCCGAUCACAUUCUCUGGUAGGACCUACAGCUUGUGUUAUGUUAACCAGGCAGCUCAGCAAGCUUAUGCUGCAUGAAUCUGAGGACUCAUUGGAGCUCAUAGAAUGUGCCAAUGAUGAGGGAGAAGUUGAACAAGAGGACUCAUCCAUCUGCACUACUCAAGAAGAUGUUAGUGAGGGUGUGGUGGGGCUUGAUCAUUUUGAAGUCUUGAAGGUAGUUGGACAAGGUGCAUUUGGAAAGGUAUUUCAGGUGCGGAAAAAGGGCUCUUCAGAUAUCUACGCCAUGAAGGUAAUGAGAAAGGAUAAGAUUAUGGAAAAAAAUCAUUCUGACUACAUGAAAGCUGAGAGGGAUAUAUUAACAAAAGUUGAUCAUCCUUUCAUCGUGCCACUAAGAUACUCGUUUCAGACAAAAUAUCGCUUGUACCUUGUGCUGGAUUUUGUUAAUGGGGGUCACCUUUUUUUUCAGCUUUAUCGUCAUGGUUUAUUCAGGGAGGAACUGGCAAGAGUCUAUGCUGCUGAAAUAGUAUCUGCUGUUUCCCACCUUCAUGCAAAUGGCAUAAUGCACAGGGACCUUAAACCAGAAAACAUCCUGCUGGAUGCUGAUGGCCAUGCCAUGCUCACUGACUUCGGUCUGGCAAAGGAAUUUGAAGAGAACACCAGAUCUAAUUCCAUGUGUGGGACAGUUGAAUACAUGGCACCUGAAAUUGUUCUAGGGAAAGGCCACGACAAGGCUGCUGAUUGGUGGAGUGUUGGUGUUCUUCUCUUCGAAAUGCUUACUGGAAAGCCCCCUUUUACUGGUGGCAACCGAGAUAAGAUUCAGCAAAAAAUAGUGAAGGACAAAAUAAAACUCCCACCCUUCUUAUCAAGUGAAGCACAUUCACUGCUGAAAGGGUUAUUGCAGAAAGAAUCAAGCAAGCGUCUUGGCAGUGGACCUGGUGGCAGUGAUGAGAUAAAGAACCACAAAUGGUUCAAAUCUAUCAAUUGGAGGAAAUUGAAUGCCCGGGAAAUCCAGCCGAGCUUCCGCCCCAAUGUCACCGGCAAGAACUGCAUUGUCAACAUCGAUGAGUGCUGGACGAACAUGACACUAGUGGAUUCUCCAGUCUCCACACCAGUUGCAGGAGACAGUAAUUUCACAGGGUUUACUUAUGUGAGGCCGUCACCAUUUCUUCAGAAACCACCGAAUUCUCUUUGAUGAAAGAUGAAAAAGAAGAAAGCUUUUUAUGGGUAUUUCAAACAUGGAUGAAAUGUAUGCUAGGAAAACAUCCAUAAACCAUUAUUACAGAUCUAGGCUUGACAAUGGGGAAAGCUAUUGCAAAAGUUCUUCCAAAUUAUGGUCAUCGAUUGUGCUCAUGGCACAUGGGAGAAAUUCGAUGAAGUAUUUAGUAGAUUUGAAGAGCAAAGAAGGCUUCCUAGGGGACUAUAACAACUGGUUACACCGUAGUACAUCAAUGGAGGCAUUUGAGAGUAAAUGGGGUGAACUUAAAGCAACACACAACAUUGAUGAUAGACAUUGGUUGAGUAAAAUGUAUGAAAUUCGACACAAAUGGGUUUUUUCUAUAUUGGCAAAAUUUAUUCACAGCUAGAAUGACCUCUACACAACGCAAUGAAAGUAUUAACUCAUUUUUUGAUGGAUUUUGUUAAUUCAUAAAUUCCAUUGGAUGAGUUUGUUAUGGAGUAUGAUAAGGCAUUGUGUGCUCGACGAAAUGAUGAAGAAAAUGAAAACUUCAAGACUUUAAACUCUAUGCCUAACUUUCAUACAAGUCAUCCAAUUGAGAGACAUGCAGGAGAAGUGUAUACAAGAACUGUGUUCUAUAUUUUCCAAGCAGAAUUGUGAGAAAGUGAUAGUAUGCUAGUUGAAGGCAUUCAUGAUGGGACUGAUCAUGCCAAAUAUAAAAUCUGCAAUCACAUUGUUAUGUUUAGGAAAGAUGGCAUUGAAGAUUGGGAGCCUAUAGCUACAUGUUCUUGUAAGAAGUUUGAGACUAAGGGUGUGUUGUGUUGUCAUAUAUUGAAAAUAUUUAAAAAAAAGGAGGUUGCAAAGAUUCCCAAAAAGUAUAUUCUUCGUCGUUGGAGUAUGGUUGCAAGAUAUUGGUCGAAUGUUAUGAUGGUUGAUACAAGUAACAAUGCUUUUACACUGUUGAUGAAGUGGAGUGCACAAAAUGUGUUUUCGUAUUGCACAGUCUAUAUCAUCUUUAGAGAUGUAUGAAAAAAUUAUGCCUAAGCUAAAUGACAUCUUCAAAAUGGUUGGUGAAUUUUCUAGUGCAUGAGAACAUGUCUUACACACGGAGCAAAGUGUGGCAAAUGAGGAGAUUAUUGGUUCAUCUUCUUUCCUUGCAACCUCAGGUGGAGAUGAUACUUGUGGGUCACACAUUGGUAUUCUUGAUCCAAAAUGUGUUAAAAGCAAAGGUCUUCCAAAAGUGAAUACAAGGAUUAAAUCUGGGAUCGAUAUUCAAUUGUCAUUAUAGAAGAAAAGGACUUGCAGUAGAUGUGGGAGAAAGGGUCAUUACAUGUCUACAUGCACAUUUAGUCAGGCUUGAGCCAUAUUUUGGAAUGCUUUUGGAUGUCUGGCUUAUAUCUGUCUCUUUGCUUGUGGACAUUACGUUCAUAUUUAUUUUCAUGUUUUUGGUGAAUUUGUGCUGAAUUUGUUUAUGUUCAGCUGUAAUUUGUUGCAUGUACAUUUGAUUUUGUGUUGUAUUUGGUGUCACUUUAAUUUGCUAGCUUUAAUUUGUAAUUUGUUUACCUGAAGAAAAUAUUAAGCUCUAGUUUGUUGCAGAUUUUUGUUAAGCUGCAGAAUUUCUUUGAAUGUCUAUCUUUAGAUUAUUGUUAGGCCAGGGAUAUUUAUUAAGCUGCAGAAAUUUCUUAAGCUGUCUUUAAUUUUUUGAUUAAGCUUUAAUUUGUUAGGCUGCAGAAAUUUUGUUAAGUUAUUACUAGGCUGCAGAAAUUUUGUUGCAGAUUUUUGUUAAGCUAUAGAAUUUCUUUGAAUGUCUGUCUUUAGAUUAUUGUUAGGCUGCAGAAAUUUUGGAAUGUCAUCUUUAAGUUGUUGCUAGGUUGCAGAAAUUUUGUUAAGCUACAAAAAUGGUGAUCCAUUAUUGAAUGAAAAGAUCAUAGUACAUGGUGAUCCAUUACUACAGACACAACAGUGCACUUACAACAUUUGCUAAUUUCCAUAUUGUUCAGUGCGAGAGAAAAGAAAAGAAAAGCUUCAAACACUUUGUCAAAGAUAGUGUAUUACACAGAACCACUACCAUAUAGAUUGCUGAUUUUCAUACAGUUGGACACCUAAAAUAAAAGGACAAAAACUAUGUUUACAGGAAAAUUGCUUCCCAAGGCUCGCUUAUAAGUUGCGAGAGCAAAUGGUUGGGGAACAGUAUAGUUCGAUCGUGAAGUUCCAGAGGCAGUUUUGGUUUUUGAUUUAAUGCUAGAGUCUUGCUUUCGAUUAAGUGGCGACUGAGCUUCACAAGUUACUGAUACCAUCUCUGGGGUAUCAGCCUGGACACUUGAGUUGUUCACAGCAGCAAUUCCAUUUCCAUUGUUACAAAUUAUAUCUUGAUGAAUUAAAGCAGCUUUGUCAGGAGAUUCCUUCA